RNAcentral lists this ribosomal RNA (497 nucleotides) under uncultured bacterium. RNAcentral describes it as "partial 16S ribosomal RNA". It matches the Rfam family "Bacterial small subunit ribosomal RNA", at positions 28 to 507 of the family's 1533-position model. The record is from RNAcentral.
GAUGAACGCUGGCGGCGUGCCUAAUACAUGCAAGUCGAGCGAACAGACGAGGAGCUUGCUCCUCUGACGUUAGCGGCGGACGGGUGAGUAACACGUGGAUAACCUACCUAUAAGACUGGGAUAACUUCGGGAAACCGGAGCUAAUACCGGAUCAUAUAUUGAACCGCAUGGUUCAAUAGUGAAAGACGGUUUUGCUGUCCCUUAUAGAUGGAUCCGCGCCGCAUUAGCUAGUUGGUAAGGUAACGGCUUACCAAGGCAACGAUGCGUAGCCGACCUGAGAGGGUGAUCGGCCACACUGGAACUGAGACACGGUCCAGACUCCUACGGGAGGCAGCAGUAGGGAAUCUUCCGCAAUGGGCGAAAGCCUGACGGAGCAACGCCGCGUGAGUGAUGAAGGUCUUCGGAUCGUAAAACUCUGUUAUUAGGGAAGAACAAAUGUGUAAGUAACUAUGCACGUCUUGACGGUACCUAAUCAGAAAGCCACGGCUAACUACGUG